AGGACGAACGCUGGCGGCGUGCUUAACACAUGCAAGUCGAGCGGUAAGGCCUUUCGGGGUACACGAGCGGCGAACGGGUGAGUAACACGUGGGUGAUCUGCCCUGCACUUCGGGAUAAGCCUGGGAAACUGGGUCUAAUACCGGAUAUGACCUCCUAUCGCAUGGUGGGUGGUGGAAAGAUUUAUCGGUGCAGGAUGGGCCCGCGGCCUAUCAGCUUGUUGGUGGGGUAAUGGGCCUACCAAGGCGACGACGGGUAGCCGACCUGAGAGGGUGACCGGCACACUGGGACUGAGACACGGCCCAGACUCCUACGGGAGGCAGCAGUGGGGAAUAGUUGCACAAUGGGCGAAAGCCUGAUGCAGCGACGCCGCGUGAGGAUGGACGCCUUCGGGUUGUAACCGUCUUCAGUCGAGGACGAAGCGCGAAGUGACGGUACCUGCGAGAAGAAGCACCGGCUAACGUACGUCG
RNAcentral lists this ribosomal RNA (468 nucleotides) under uncultured soil bacterium. RNAcentral describes it as "bacterial SSU rRNA". It matches the Rfam family "Bacterial small subunit ribosomal RNA", at positions 26 to 508 of the family's 1533-position model. The record is from RNAcentral.